UGGUUGGUCUGUUAAUCAAUUUGGAGACAGCCUAUUAAUCUAAUGCUAUCGACAAAAUCAUUGCAAGGUCAGCAUGUUUCAUUCUAUAACAUUUCAAAUACAUUUGUACAAUGCAUAUUUUCAUAAUAAAAACUAUUCAUGUAUGGCAAAAUAAUUCAGUGUACUGAACCAGCGGUGUGAUAGUUUUUAUGGACCCGCAAAAAAGUUAUAGGUGCCAUAUAGUUUUACCCUUGUCUAAAAUUCCGUCAUUACGUCAUAACGUCAUUCCGUAACAAACCAUUAUACAGAGUUUUUUCCUAAACGCCUUCAGAUAUUGGCCUGAUUUUAUGUUUCGUUCCACUCCACUAAUUUUUGCCAAAAUUCCGGGCUUUGAACUUUGAUAAAUUGUUGAAAAUUACAGUUAUACAUUGUUUUUUUUCUAAACGCCUUCAGAUAUUGGGCUGAUUUUUGGUAAGUAAGUUAACCAUGAUGAUUUACAGAUCAAGUUUAAGUUUCGAUCUGUUAACCAAAUUUUGCCGAAAUU
RNAcentral lists this long non-coding RNA (523 nucleotides) under Mytilus galloprovincialis (Mediterranean mussel). Lineage: Eukaryota; Metazoa; Mollusca; Bivalvia; Mytilida; Mytilidae. The record is from RNAcentral.